AAAAAUUCAUUUAUUUCACCAUUUCUGGAAAAGUAAAUAGAAAUUCAUGAUCUUUUGGAGGAGUUGUGUUGCCUUCUUUACAUAUUUUUUCUUUGUUUGUUUUUCUAGGUUGAUAUCUCUGCAUCUCUUUGGAUGUAUGUCUUUUCCAGUUUUACAUGAGCACAUAUUUGGCAAUCACAUUCUCUUUAUUAUAUGUCCUUGGUCAUUGAUUUAUUGAAUAAUAAUGACCUUUUAUAUCAAGUAGACUUAGUAGUAAAGUUUUCCUGUGGCAUGUCUACAGUGAUUGGCAGUCCUAACACAAUGCAUUCUGUUUGAAACUGAAGGACCAGCAUUCCUUCAGUUCAUCAAUAGUAUUGUCCUUUGGAUGUUCAGGCAUGGGUGGUUGAGAGAAGAAUAUGUAGAGUGCAAGUUCUAUGUUUACCCAUGUGGUCUUGUCAACAAUAUGCAUUCUGAAAAAGAUAAAAGUGACCCAUACAGAGGUUCUUUGUAGAUGAGGUAUCCACAAAAAUUGUGUUAUUUCCCUCUAAAUUGCUAUAGUGGUGACUGUCUUGGAUUGCAACUUUGAUCCCUCCCUACAUUCUUCUGCUUGGGGCUAUGUCUAGAACUAGAGGCUUUUUAUCUUCCUUCUUCCAUAAGUGGAAUUACCUGUCAGUGUUCCAGCUUGACUAGGAUAUGACUGGAAUGGUGUAAAUUUUUAUCAACAUGGCUAUGUGUGCAGGUCCCAAUGUCUAAAUCCAAUGAGCUCACUCUGCUUAAAUUGAGCCUACACUCCACCAAAAAGGAAGAAAACUAACAACAUUAACAAUCACAAAAUUAAAAAAAAACAGAUAUAGAAAUACAUUAGUAAUACAUUAAUAAGGCAGUGAGAGUGAAAACAAGUCAUGAUGCCAAAAAAGGAGGGGACAGAAAUAUUAUAGAAAAAGUUAAAUGUUAAAAAUUAAGAAAACCAAGUACAUGAAAAAAUGCUCACCAUCUCUAGCAGUCAGAGAAAUGCAAAUCAAAAC
Molecule: long non-coding RNA, 1004 nt
Filed under: Marmota monax (woodchuck)
Lineage: Eukaryota; Metazoa; Chordata; Mammalia; Rodentia; Sciuridae
Source: RNAcentral